CAGUAGCCGCGGUAAUACGUAGGGUGCAAGCGUUAAUCGGAAUUACUGGGCGUAAAGCGUGCGCAGGCGGUUUGUUAAGACAGAUGUGAAAUCCCCGGGCUUAACCUGGGAACUGCAUUUGUGACUGGCAAGCUAGAGUCUGGCAGAGGGGGGUGGAAUUCCGCGUGUAGCAGUGAAAUGCGUAGAUAUGCGGAGGAACACCGAUGGCGAAGGCAGCCCCCUGGGCCAACACUGACGCUCAUGCACGAAAGCGUGGGGAGCAAACAGGAUUAGAUACCCCUGUAGUCCCUGUCUCUUAUAC
RNAcentral lists this ribosomal RNA (301 nucleotides) under uncultured bacterium. Its description in RNAcentral is "partial 16S ribosomal RNA". It matches the Rfam family "Bacterial small subunit ribosomal RNA", at positions 509 to 807 of the family's 1533-position model. The record is from RNAcentral.